Molecule: ribosomal RNA, 265 nt
Filed under: uncultured archaeon
Lineage: Archaea
Description: partial 16S ribosomal RNA
Rfam family: Archaeal small subunit ribosomal RNA
Source: RNAcentral
ACACGACUACAUUAGACUACCCCGGUAGUCCUAGGCGUAAAUGAUGCGAGUUAAGUGUGGGGGCAUCUACGAGAUGGCCCUGUGCUGUAGGGUAGCCGUUAAACUCGCUGCCUGGGAGUACGGUCGCAAGGCUGAAACUUAAAGGAAUUGGCGGGGGAGCACCACAACGGGUGGAGCUUGCGGUUUAAUUGGAUUCAACGCCGGAAAUCUUACCGGGACCGACAGCAACAUGAAGGCCAGGCUGAAGACUUUGCCGGAUUAGCUG